Small nucleolar RNA from Melitaea cinxia (Glanville fritillary), 79 nucleotides. The record is from RefSeq and is a predicted model, not a curated record. NCBI's taxonomy places the organism in Eukaryota, Metazoa, Arthropoda, Insecta, Lepidoptera, Nymphalidae.
UACAUAUGAUGAUUAAAAAUUUCACCAUCUUUCGACUGAGAAACAGUGCUGUUAAUUUACAAAUUACCUGAUUUUAGUU